UACGUAGGGGGCAAGCGUUGUCCGGAUUUAUUGGGCGUAAAGAGCGUGUAGGCGGCUUGGUAAGUCCGCUGUGAAAGUCCAGGGCUCAACCCUGGAAAGCCGGUGGAAACUGUCAAGCUUGAGUCCGGAAGAGGCGAGUGGAAUUCCUGGUGUAGCGGUGAAAUGCGCAGAUAUCAGGAGGAACACCAAUGGCGAAGGCAGCUCGCUGGGACGGUACUGACGCUGAGACGCGAAAGCGUGGGGAGCAAACAGG
This 253-nucleotide ribosomal RNA is filed under the name uncultured bacterium. Its description in RNAcentral is "partial 16S ribosomal RNA". It matches the Rfam family "Bacterial small subunit ribosomal RNA", at positions 524 to 776 of the family's 1533-position model. The record is from RNAcentral.